This 38-nucleotide small nuclear RNA is filed under the name Caenorhabditis elegans. Lineage: Eukaryota; Metazoa; Nematoda; Chromadorea; Rhabditida; Rhabditidae. The record is from RNAcentral.
GAGCCAGCUUGAUCUCAAAAUCUAACCGAACCCAACGG